GGCUUAACACAUGCAAGUCGAGCGGAAACGAUGAUAGCUUGCUAUCAGGCGUCGAGCGGCGGACGGGUGAGUAAUACUUAGGAAUCUACCUAGUAGUGGGGGAUAGCUCGGGGAAACUCGAAUUAAUACCGCAUACGUCCUACGGGAGAAAGCAGGGGAUCUUUGGACCUUGCGCUAUUAGAUGAGCCUAAGUCGGAUUAGCUAGAUGGUGGGGUAAAGGCCUACCAUGGCGACGAUCUGUAGCUGGUCUGAGAGGAUGAUCAGCCACACCGGGACUGAGACACGGCCCGGACUCCUACGGGAGGCAGCAGUGGGGAAUAUUGGACAAUGGGGGGAACCCUGAUCCAGCCAUGCCGCGUGUGUGAAGAAGGCCUUUUGGUUGUAAAGCACUUUAAGCAGUGAAGAAGACUCUUCGGUUAAUACCCGGGGACGAUGACAUUAGCUGCAGAAUAAGCACCGGCUAACUCUGUGCCAGCAGCCGCGGUAAUACAGAGGGUGCAAGCGUUAAUCGGAAUUACUGGGCGUAAAGCGAGCGUAGGUGGCUUGAUAAGUCAGAUGUGAAAUCCCCGGGCUUAACCUGGGAACUGCAUCUGAAACUGUUAGGCUAGAGUAGGUGAGAGGGAAGUAGAAUUUCAGGUGUAGCGGUGAAAUGCGUAGAGAUCUGAAGGAAUACCGAUGGCGAAGGCAGCUUCCUGGCAUCAUACUGACACUGAGGCUCGAAAGCGUGGGUAGCAAACAGGAUUAGAUACCCUGGUAGUCCACGCCGUAAACGAUGUCUACUAGUCGUUGGGUCCCUUGAGGACUUAGUGACGCAGCUAACGCAAUAAGUAGACCGCCUGGGGAGUACGGCCGCAAGGUUAAAACUCAAAUGAAUUGACGGGGGC
This 884-nucleotide ribosomal RNA is filed under the name Psychrobacter sp. K8-4-041. Its description in RNAcentral is "bacterial SSU rRNA". It matches the Rfam family "Bacterial small subunit ribosomal RNA", at positions 45 to 920 of the family's 1533-position model. Lineage: Bacteria; Pseudomonadati; Pseudomonadota; Gammaproteobacteria; Moraxellales; Moraxellaceae. The record is from RNAcentral.